GAGCUUAGUGAUAUGGUUUAGUGGAGGACUUGUUAGAGUUAGGUCAGAGGUUGGACUGGGUGAUCUUGGAGGUCUCUUCCAACCUAAACGAUUCUGUGAUUCAUGAGAGCAGAGCAGAGGGGGACAAUCACCUCCCUCAGCCUGCUGGCCACGCUGCUUUUGAUGCAGCCCAGGAUACAAUUGGCUUUCUGGGCUGCAAGUGCAUGUUGUCAGCUCAUGUUGAGCUUCUCGUCAACCAACAUCCGCAAGUCCUCCUCAGGGCUGCUCUCAAUCCGUUCUCCACCCAGCCUGUAUUUGUGCUUGGGAUUGCCCUGACCCAGAUGCAGGACCUUGCACUUGGCCUUAUUGAACCUCAUUAGGUUUGCAUAGGCCCACCUGUAAAGCUUGUCCAGGUCCCUCUGGAUGGCAUCCCUUCCCUCCAGCAUGUCAACAGAACACCUUCCUCUUGAGAGAUUUACCUCAUGUAAUCUACUAUGUAGACGCUGUGGUGCCAGGAUUAUUGGUCAAUCAAGCUCUAGUUGAACUAUGAGUGUCUAGGACUUAAAAUUUCACUUCUAAAGAUAAACUCACUGCUUGAUAUCCAGUACUUAAAAGAUCAGAUAAUGAUUUAUUUUAACCAGAAAGUGUUCACUCUCCUUUGAAUUUGUGCAUGAAAAAUUGACUCUGUAUAUAGUUUAACCAUUGAGACUAGAAAUAGCUAAAUCUAUGAUACAAAGCAAAGGUACAAAUGAUGAGAAAACCAACACUGAAACAGACUGUACAAGGAAUUUCUUUAAGACAUUAAUCAGAUUAAACCUGAUAAAGUGUCUAAUUGGCUUGAUUACUGAUGGCAAGAAAACGUGCUAUAUACCUAUUCAUGGUAAAAGGGUUAUAGAGGCUUCAGGACAGUUGAAUGGGCAAGAUGUUUAGAAGACUAAAAGCAGUGUUUUCUAGAGCAAAAUUAUCACCUGAGCAAGCGGACUGUGAAAAUGGCAGCAUUCCUCCCAAACCAUCUACAAAACAGGGUGAAAAUACAAAAAAAGAUAAGCCACAGAAAGCUGAAAACAAUACAACAGCAGAACCAUUACCAAAGGAACAAGAGGGAGUUCCAGCAAAAGCACCUGAGCCUUCACAAACUGAAAAAUCAAAUGAACCAGCUAAAGCAACUCUACAGGAACUGCAUCUGCUCAAUAAUGGAAAAGAAGAUGCAAAGUAA
Anser cygnoides (Swan goose) is the source of this 1195-nucleotide long non-coding RNA. NCBI's taxonomy places the organism in Eukaryota, Metazoa, Chordata, Aves, Anseriformes, Anatidae. The record is from Ensembl.